CGCCAAGGCGCUUCAGUCGUGUCCGACUCUGUGCGACCCCAGAGACGGCAGCCCACCAGGCUCCCCCGUCCCUGGGAUUCUCCAGGCAAGAACCCUGGAGUGGGUUGUCAUUUCCUUCUCCAGUGCAUGAAGUGAAAAGUGAAAGUGAAGUCGCUCAGUCUUGUCUGACUCUUAGCGACCCCGUGGACUGCAGCCUACCAACUACAGAGGCGUUAUUCACAAAACAUGGGGCCAUUACUUGGAAUAGCCUCUAUUCCAAGUAACGUUUGCUGGGGUGUGCAGGAGGUUGUCUUGACGAAACGAACGCGUCAUCUAUACGGCGUCAUUUUACAUGUGACAGAAGAAUGGUAUCGGGGGCGUGUGAGAGGACGUGGGAUUCCGGCGGAACUUUCUUGACAUUUGACCCACUUUUGAGACAAACGGAAA
Molecule: long non-coding RNA, 426 nt
Filed under: Capra hircus (goat)
Lineage: Eukaryota; Metazoa; Chordata; Mammalia; Artiodactyla; Bovidae
Description: lncRNA (ENSCHIG00000007204.1)
Source: RNAcentral